This 410-nucleotide ribosomal RNA is filed under the name uncultured bacterium. Its description in RNAcentral is "bacterial SSU rRNA". It matches the Rfam family "Bacterial small subunit ribosomal RNA", at positions 505 to 916 of the family's 1533-position model. The record is from RNAcentral.
GUGUCAGCCGCCGCGGUGAUACGUACUGUGCGAACGUUAUUCGGAAUCACUGGGCUUAAAGGGUGCGUAGGCGGCCGAUUAAGUAGGGUGUGAAAGGCCUCGGCUCAACCGGGGCAUUGCGCUCUAAACUGGUCGGCUUGAGUGAGUUAGGGGUGUGCGGAACUUCCAGUGGAGCGGUGAAAUGUGUUGAUAUUGGAAGGAACGCCGGUGGCGAAAGCGGCACACUGGGUCUUAACUGACGCUGAUGCACGAAAGCCAGGGUAGCGAACGGGAUUAGAUACCCCGGUAGUCCUGGCUGUAAACGAUGAGCACUAGACGGGAGAGGCUUUGCUUCUUCGGUCGUAGCGAAAGCGAUAAGUGCUCCGCCUGGGGAGUAUGGUCGCAAGGUUGAAACUCAAAUGAAUUGACGG